UACAGGGGGUGCAACCGUUGCUCGGAAUCAUUGGGCGUAAAGCGCACGUAGGCGGUCUGUUAUGUCGGAUGUGAAAGCCCUUGGCUCAACUGAGGAAGUGCAUCCGAAACUGGCAGGCUAGAGUACUAAAGAGGAUCGCGGAAUUCCCGGUGUAGAGGUGAAAUGCGUAGAGACCGGGAAGAACACCAGUGGCGAAGGCGGCUACCUGGACAGGUACUGACGCUGAAGCGCGAAAGCUAGGGGAGCAAACAGG
Molecule: ribosomal RNA, 253 nt
Filed under: uncultured bacterium
Lineage: Bacteria
Description: partial 16S ribosomal RNA
Rfam family: Bacterial small subunit ribosomal RNA
Source: RNAcentral